ACACUGAAGGGAGGUGGUCCGAGACAUGAAGUCUCUCCGGACGCGUGAGGUGGCUGCCCGCUAGUCGCCCGAAGCAUCGGACGGAUUGCUCGAUCCGCUGAUCGCCCCGCCGGCAACCCGGCCGGGCGGCUGGUGAAUCUCCGGCAGUCACCGCAGCCCGUGGGUUGCCGCGACCUCGUCCUUCGCGGCAGGACCUCUUCCGAGGGGUCCGGCCCACGGGCUGUUGCCU
RNAcentral lists this small RNA (229 nucleotides) under Cellulomonas oligotrophica. Its description in RNAcentral is "sRNA Ms_IGR-5". It matches the Rfam family "Actinobacteria sRNA Ms_IGR-5". Lineage: Bacteria; Bacillati; Actinomycetota; Actinomycetes; Micrococcales; Cellulomonadaceae. The record is from RNAcentral.